AGUGAACGCUGGCGGUAGGCCUAACACAUGCAAGUCGAACGGCAGCACAGUAAGAGCUUGCUCUUACGGGUGGCGAGUGGCGGACGGGUGAGGAAUACAUCGGAAUCUACUUUUUCGUGGGGGAUAACGUAGGGAAACUUACGCUAAUACCGCAUACGACCUACGGGUGAAAGCAGGGGAUCUUCGGACCUUGCGCGAUUGAAUGAGCCGAUGUCGGAUUAGCUAGUUGGCGGGGUAAAGGCCCACCAAGGCGACGAUCCGUAGCUGGUCUGAGAGGAUGAUAGGCCACACGGGGACUGAGAGACGGUCCAGACUCCUACGGGAGGCAGCAGUGGGGAAUAUUGGACAAUGGGGGCAAGCCUGAUCCAGCCAUACCGCGUGGGUGAAGAAGGCAUUCGGGUUCUAAAGCACUUUGAGCGGGGAAGAAAAGAAGCAAGUUAAUACCUCCGCGCGCUGACGUUACCCAAAGAAGAAGCACCGGCUAACUUCGUG
This 492-nucleotide ribosomal RNA is filed under the name uncultured bacterium. Its description in RNAcentral is "partial 16S ribosomal RNA". It matches the Rfam family "Bacterial small subunit ribosomal RNA", at positions 29 to 507 of the family's 1533-position model. The record is from RNAcentral.